RNAcentral lists this ribosomal RNA (305 nucleotides) under uncultured bacterium. RNAcentral's name for it is "bacterial SSU rRNA". It matches the Rfam family "Bacterial small subunit ribosomal RNA", at positions 29 to 334 of the family's 1533-position model. The record is from RNAcentral.
AACGAACGCUGGCGGCGUGCCUAACACAUGCAAGUCGAACGAGAAAGUUCUUCGGAACGAGUAGAGUGGCGAACGGGUGAGUAACGCGUAGGUAAUCUACCAUUUAGUAGGGAUAACCAGCCGAAAGGCUGGCUAAUACCGUAUAAAGUUUUCUUCCAUAAGGAAGAAAAGCAAAGAGGCUUGCCUCGCUGAAUGAUGAGCCUGCGUCCCAUUAGCUUGUUGGUAAGGUAAAAGCUUACCAAGGCGACGAUGGGUAGCUGGUCUGAGAGGAUGAUCAGCCACACUGGGACUGACACACGGCCCAG